RNAcentral lists this ribosomal RNA (460 nucleotides) under uncultured bacterium. RNAcentral describes it as "partial 16S ribosomal RNA". It matches the Rfam family "Bacterial small subunit ribosomal RNA", at positions 338 to 795 of the family's 1533-position model. The record is from RNAcentral.
CCUACGGGGGGCAGCAGUGAGGAAUAUUGGUCAAUGGGCGAGAGCCUGAACCAGCCAAGUCGCGUGAAGGAUGACUGCCCUAUGGGUUUUAAACUUCUUUUAUAUGGGAAUAAAGUGUUCCACGUGUGGGAUUUUGUAUGUACCAUAUGAAUAAGGAUCGGCUAAUUCCGUGCCAGCAGCCGCGGUAAUACGGAGGAUCCGAGCGUUAUCCGGAUUUAUUGGGUUUAAAGGGAGCGUAGGUGGAUUCGUAAGUCAGUUGUGAAAGUUUGCGGCUCAACCGUAAAAUUGCAGUUGAAACUGGCAGUCUUGAGUACAGUAGAGGUAGGCGGAAUUCGUGGUGUAGCGGUGAAAUGCUUAGAUAUCACGAAGAACUCCGAUUGCGAAGGCAGCUCACUGGACUGCAACUGACACUGAGGCUCGAAAGUGUGGGUAUCAAACAGGAUUAGAUACCCGAGUAGUC